Molecule: ribosomal RNA, 236 nt
Filed under: uncultured bacterium
Lineage: Bacteria
Description: partial 16S ribosomal RNA
Rfam family: Bacterial small subunit ribosomal RNA
Source: RNAcentral
GGCGGACGGGUGAGUAAUGCGUAGGAAUUUACCUCAAAGCGGGGGAUAGCCCGGAGAAAUCCGGAUUAAUACCGCAUGUGCUCUACGGAGGAAAGCGGGCCUCUACUUGUAAGCUCGCACUUUGAGAUAAGCCUACGUCGGAUUAGCUUGUUGGUGGGGUAAAAGCCUACCAAGGCGACGAUCCGUAGCUGGUUUGAGAGAAUGAUCAGCCACACUGGGACUGAGACACGGCCCAG